This 490-nucleotide ribosomal RNA is filed under the name uncultured bacterium. RNAcentral's name for it is "partial 16S ribosomal RNA". It matches the Rfam family "Bacterial small subunit ribosomal RNA", at positions 29 to 507 of the family's 1533-position model. The record is from RNAcentral.
AGUGAACGCUGGCGGUAGGCCUAACACAUGCAAGUCGAACGGCAGCACAGGAGAGCUUGCUCUCUGGGUGGCGAGUGGCGGACGGGUGAGGAAUACAUCGGAAUCUGCCCAGUCGUGGGGGAUAACGUAGGGAAACUUACUCUAAUACCGCAUACGACCUUCGGGUGAAAGAGGGGGAUCGCAAGACCUCUCGCGAUUGGAUGAGCCGAUGUCGGAUUGGCUAGUUGGCGGGGUAAUGGCCCACCAAGGCGACGAUCCGUAGCUGGUCUGAGAGGGUGAUCAGCCACACUGGAACUGAGACACGGUCCAGACUCCUACGGGAGGCAGCAGUGGGGAAUAUUGGACAAUGGGCGCAAGCCUGAUCCAGCCAUACCGCGUGGGUGAAGAAGGCCUUCGGGUUGUAAAGCCCUUUUGUUGGGAAAGAAAUCUUUCAGGCUAAUACCCUGGGAGGAUGACGGUACCCAAAGAAUAAGCACCGGCUAACUUCGUG